UCGGGAAUUUUGGGCAAUGGGCGAAAGCCUGACCCAGCAACGCCGCGUGAGGGAUGAAGUAUUUCGGUAUGUAAACCUCGAAAGAAUGGGAAGAAUAAAUGACGGUACCAUUUAUAAGCUCCGGCUAACUACGUGCCAGCAGUCGCGGUAAUACGUAGGGAGCAAGCGUUGUUCGGAUUUACUGGGCGUAACGGGCGCGUAGGCGGCGCGGUAAGUCACUUGUGAAAUCUCUGAGCUUAACUCAGAACGGCCAAGUGAUACUGCUGUGCUAGAGUGCGGAAGAGGCAACCGGAAUUCUUGGUGUAGCGGUGAAAUGCGUAGAUAUCAAGAGGAACACCUGAGGCGAAGGCGGGUUGCUGGGCCGACACUGACGCUGAUGCGCGAAAGCCAGGGGAGCAAACG
This 402-nucleotide ribosomal RNA is filed under the name uncultured bacterium. RNAcentral's name for it is "bacterial SSU rRNA". It matches the Rfam family "Bacterial small subunit ribosomal RNA", at positions 355 to 774 of the family's 1533-position model. The record is from RNAcentral.